AUUGAACGCUGGCGGCAGGCCUAACACAUGCAAGUCGAGCGGAUGAAGGGAGCUUGCUCCUGGAUUCAGCGGCGGACGGGUGAGUAAUGCCUAGGAAUCUGCCUGGUAGUGGGGGAUAACGUCCGGAAACGGGCGCUAAUACCGCAUACGUCCUGAGGGAGAAAGUGGGGGAUCUUCGGACCUCACGCUAUCAGAUGAGCCUAGGUCGGAUUAGCUAGUUGGUGGGGUAAAGGCCUACCAAGGCGACGAUCCGUAACUGGUCUGAGAGGAUGAUCAGUCAAACUGGAACUGGAACACGGUCCAGACCCCCACGGGGGGCAGCAGGGGGGAAAUUUGGACAAUGGGGGAAAGCCUGAUCCAGCCAGGCCGGGGUGGUGAAGAAGGUCUUCGGAUUGUAAAGCACUUUAAGUUGGGAGGAAGGGCAGUAAGUUAAUACCUUGCUUUUUUGACGUUACCAACAGAAUAAGCAGCGGCUAACUUCGU
RNAcentral lists this ribosomal RNA (483 nucleotides) under uncultured bacterium. RNAcentral describes it as "partial 16S ribosomal RNA". It matches the Rfam family "Bacterial small subunit ribosomal RNA", at positions 30 to 506 of the family's 1533-position model. The record is from RNAcentral.